Molecule: long non-coding RNA, 9318 nt
Organism: Pan troglodytes (chimpanzee)
Lineage: Eukaryota; Metazoa; Chordata; Mammalia; Primates; Hominidae
Exons: 7
Source: RefSeq, a predicted model, not a curated record
UAAAGAAGGAGGUGUUCCACCUCCAAGCUCUCAUUUUUCUUUCACUGACUGGAGGCAGAUGAUGAAUUUGAAGCCCUGACAAAGAGAAGGCAAAAUCAGUUUGUGUCCCUGAGUUGCUAAGUGGAGAACAAACGUCCACCAACCAGGAAACACCUGCCUCCAACUGUUAACAGGUCUGUGAAAUGUGCUUUGUUUCUGGUCAGCAUGGUCACCUGCUUUAAUAGUGGCUUCAGAUGAGGCACCUUGUGACAGAGGAGCUCUUCCCCUGCAGCAACCUUGAAGAUGUUGUGGAAGACAAUAGCCAUUCUUACUUCACUCUGAGGAUCACGAUGGCGUGCAAGGGUGUGCCAAGCACAUUGCUAUCUUUGGCCAUUCUCUCUCACAUUAGUACACCUGGAUGUGAAUGGCACGUUAUCUAUGUAAGCAGUGAUGGUCUCUAUCUGGUGGUAGAAAUGACAGAAUUACACACAAUCAGGACAGCUGAGAUUCCAUUUACUAGCUCAGUAAUCAGAGAAUAUGUAUGACAUCCCAGCAAAAAAUGUUGAACAUGUUCAGAUUUCAUCAUAUCAGCACCACAGUAUCAGUCUUACUGGGAGGUGCUUGCAUUCAGUUCCUGGCUACUGAAGAAAUUUUGCAGGAGUUCCAGAUAACUUACUUGUCCCAUAAUAAUGAAAACUAUUACAAUUAUGCUAAAGAAGAAUACUUAAUAACACAGUAAAAAUGUUUAUGAUGUCUUUUAAUUUCUAAAGCAUGUUAUAAAAGUAUUACAGUAUGAUCUCAUAUUUGUAACUAAAAUAUAUAUUAAUUCAUUUAGCAAAUAAAUAUUAAGCCCCUACUAUGCACAUACCAAUAUAGAUAUUGGUAUUUGUGUGGGUGUGUGUGUUACAGCAGAUUUUAAUUUUCUUAUUUUGUAUUUUCUGAUUUAUCUACAAUGAAUUUGUAUUAAUUUGCUAACAAAACAUCACUAUUAAAAUAAAAUUUUUUUGAAUUAUAAGAAAAGGCUAACAUCAUAACAAUAAGGUUGUAUAGAAUAAACGGACAACACAGAAGUUAUUUUGGCCCUGUGUUCCACAGUGACUCACCAAAUAUACCCUGCACUGUUUAUUUUAUUUUUUUCUAUUUCACUAUUGAAAUGAACAGAUGCAUUUCACGUCACAUGGAUCUCAUGGAAACAUGCCAAACAUUUUCUUAGCAACCAAACUCCUGUCUUCUGCACUGUGCAUGAUUAACUAAAACAGCCUGUUGACGGCUUAAAAUAAACCUGCCUUUUCCAUUUAGCAUUUUAUCAAAUGAAUAUAAUUUCAUUUGCUGAUGAAUUUAGUUCAGCUUCAAGAGAAUUUUUCUUUUCUUCAUGGGGAGGCUGAAGAAUCAGAACUGUCAUACCAAAGAAUGAAAAGCAAGCCUAGGGAGAACAAGACAGUCUGAUGUUUACAUGGGGUUAACUUAUUUGAUCAGUGAAAUCAGAAAAGGAUCAUUCUGCAUUCGUGGACUCCUCUCAUUGACACACUCGCUUACCCAUCUGAAAACAGCAACACAGUCUGGGUUCCUGAUUUGUAUCUAUUACCCUUCAUGGAAAUGGCUGGUGAAGCAAAACUAUGUGUGUAAAACUGCAUCUGCCACAGGCUGCUUGUCCACAAAAGCAGCAAAGCAUCUCUAUGGAAUACCUCCGUAUGGAUCUGUAAAGAAGAGUCCCACUUCAAUCAAAGACAGCAGAUUAUGAGGAAAUAAAUCCAUUUCUCCUGCUCCAUGUGACAGCCCUUUAAACAAUGAGGAGAAAAUGCAUUCCAGAGUAAAAAAAUGAAGAAACACUAGAAGAUCCAAGCUUUCCUUCCCCAUUUCAUCAGCCAUGGAUACUUGAUUCCAUUAUGUAAACAAGUAAAGAAUAACAAGUAAUUUUUACAAUUUAACAUUACAAAGUUUCAUUAAAAAGAUAAAAGAUUUUAUAGAAGCUGUUUUGAAUGUGUACUGAUUUGGGAUUCCAGCUCUAUAAAUGACUGAAUACAUGAAAGGAAGCAGUAAUAAAAAGAAAUGAGGGAGUGCUUAAUUAUUGCAACUUUGAAACUAUGCUAUCCAUUAUGGUAGCCACUGCCACAUACAGCUAUUGAGAAGCUUGACAAGUGGGUAGCCCAAAUUGGGAUAUGCUAUAAUUGUGAAACACACACUGGAUUUUGAGCACUUGAUUCAAAAAUAAAAAUAAUGCAAAAUAUUUCAUAAUGUUUUAUACUUACUAUCUGUAGAAAUAAUACUCAUAUAUUAUUAAAAUUAAUUUCAUUUGUUUUUUUUUUAACCUGGUUACUAGAAAAUAUAAAAUUACAUUUGUGGCUUCAUUUGUGACCUGCAUUAUAUUUCCAAUGGGCAGCAUUAGUUGAGAAUAUAAUUUUAAAGUUGAAAUGUCCAUCAUUUCAGUUUUCUUUCCCAACAUAUGUAGUUCAUGGAAUUUUGGUAUAUAUACGCUAUUAUGGGAUAUGUACUCAGCUCUUGGAAUGACAGAAACUUUAUACAUAAAAAUAAUUAUGUAUAAAGAUGAAUGUCAAUUGUUCCAAAUAUGGUUUUUAUGUACAAAAUUAUACCGCUCAUAAAACUUCAUAGAAAGAGCAACUUGUUUUAUAUGAAAAGUUAAAGCCUAAUAAGAAUCAGGAUAAAAGUUUUUAGUCAGAUAAAAAAGGGUUUCCAUAACCAACUUUCUGACAUCCUAAAACUGAGUAUAAAUUUUUUAGCAUAUUCUAUAACUACAAACUGAUCAUUAACCUGAACUUACAAAUAUUUCCAGCUUUCAUCUACCUUUUUAUUUUCAUUUUUAAAACUAUAAGACAAAAUAUUUUAAACCAUCAAGUGCUAAUAAGAGUAAGAAGAAAGAUGAUUGUUGUAUAUAUCAUUCUUCAUCUCUCCUUGUUAAGUCACUCCCAAAAAGUGGGUGGAAAAUUGCUUUUUCUUCCUUCAGGUGUUAAAAAUAAUAUGACUCAUUUUUUUAACGUAGUAAAAAUAAAUUAUGCAUCCACCAAAAAAAUCAAGAUAUGUUAAUAUUAUUGAAAAAACAAAUAAUGGAAUAAUAUAUAAUAAAUGAACAUGUAUAACCAAAACUUAUUAAAUUUUACCAUGAAAAAUUUUGAUACUGCAUGAAUUUUAUGCAAAAAAAAGUAAAGUAUGCUGAAAAUUAAGGAAGGGGAAGGAAGAAUAUGCUAUCAAACACGCAAACCCGAAAAUUCGUUUAAAAUGCUGUUUGAAUCACAUUUGUUUUGUCCCUAGGUUAGUCUAUACUGAUUGCAAUUUAGUGUUUACAGAAACUAUCAGUUUGGUCUUGUUACUUGGUCUAAGGCAGACUAAUUACCACAGAUUUUAAUUCAAAGGACAGUGUAAAACAGAAAACGGUACAAGUCAAAUUGAAGGCAAUAAUUGAAAUUUUCUGGCUGAUGCUGGAACUGUUUUUCACAGCUUUUCUCAAUUACCUUCUCAAAUAAGGUAAGGCUUACAAAGUUCAGACUCCUUAAUUGGGUGGCCUCCUAAGUUGUUUCUGGGGAAUGAAGAAAAAAAUUAAAGUAUUCCUUACCAAUACUACCCUAGGUAUUUCUUGAGACUAACAGGCAUUUUCUAAGGUUCAACCUUAAGAUCUGUUUUGUUAGUUCUUAAUUAUACAGCAAAAGUUUAAUGAGAGAUCAUGCUCUCAACUACAAAAUCAUAACAAGCUCCUCACUGAGACAGAUUUGGAGAAAGAGACCAAAAUAACAACAACAACAAAGCAUUGUACUUACAAAAAAAGAAAAAGAAAAAGGCUCCCAAUUUUUAUAAAUGGUUAGAAGUAUGGAAAUCCCUGAGGAGCUAGACUGGGGAUCCAUGAAAGAGUUUCUUUCAAAAGGAAUACAUAUUCUUUGCAGUUUUUAAUUAGCGAAUAUUAUUUUUUGAAGUAAAAAUUUAUAAAGACAAACUUAAUUAUGUCCUUGCUUAAAUCCUUUCAAUGGCUAACUAUUCGCCACAAAAACAGAGUCAAUACAUUAGCACAGGAUGCAAGGCAUUUCAUAAUGUGGUCCCUUGUUUCCCUUUUCCACCCACAAUUUUACCACUCUCGGCCUUGCAAUCUAAACUCUCACCAUUUUAAGCUACUGCUGUGCUACUUUUAUUAAUGGGUACUGUAAUUAUCUCAUUUGCCUUAUUUUUCGAUGCUGUACUUGUAAACCUUAGAUAUUUUGUUACUAACUACAAUGGGGUUUUCUUGACCAGAGAUUUAUUGAGAUGAAGAUAUUUGUAGAAUAUUACAUAGUCAAAUAUGUAUGAAGGCCUAUUUCCAUUCUAGUAACAUUUUAAUAACAAAAAUGACUUCUAAUGAUUAAUCCAGUUUCCAUUAUAACACACUUCAAAAGAAAGCAAAUUAGACCAAAGGCCCCAAUUCCAUUCCUAGGUUUAAUUUGAAUUUUUACAGUAAAUACUGUAUUACCUACAGUAAGUAAUUUUACUCAAUCUAUUAAAAAGUCCCUUAACCACUUUAUGCCGAUGCUUUUUCUACUUUCAAAAAAUGAAGAUACAAAAAGGUACAUAUGAUUUAUAAACUUUUUUGCCUUUACAGUACCUCAGAAACCCCAAGACAAGCAUUUAUUUAGGAAAAAGAAAAAACAAACUGAGAAGGCUUAGCUAUGUUUCCUUCUGUAUACUGUAUGACUUUGAAUAUAACAAAUUUAAUAGUACCAUCAAGCAACAUUUAUAUAUACUUAUAAGUAUAUAACCUAUAAAACGUAAAUCAGCCUACUUCCACGUAUACAACAACAUAUAUACUAAUAAAAGAGUUUCAUGCACACACAUUUUCCUUAAGCACUCAAAAUGAGUCUUCUAGGUCCACCAGACUCUUUUAAAGAAUGCUUACCUUGGUGAUGUACUUGGCCAUCUGAAGUUUGUCUUUUAGGAUUUUUUCUCCUAACACUUGCAGGUGAAGAACUGACCAGCGAUGAUCGGCCAGAAGACUGUGGCGUUUCAAAAUCAGAUGAGUAAGAAUAAUGGUGUUUGCCUGCCUUUCUUUCUUGAUCAGUACCUGGACUUCCUGCUCUUUCCCCCAUUGUUUUGAAAAAUGGUCUCUAUUCACAUAAUUUCACAGAUUAUUUUCUCCAGAGGAGACUACGACAAUACUGAAAAACAUUUUCACAGUCUUCAGAUCCUGAUAAUAUUCAUUUCUGUGCAAUCUAUUUUCUCCACAAUGUAUUUGUAGACCACAAUUCACAUUAGCAUCCAGAAGAUAAACUUUUUUGCCCUGAAAUUAAGGAAGGGGAAAGGAGACUUAUCAUACAGUCUCUACAGUUUCUACAGUUAAUUACAAUGAAAGACACUAAAAGCAAAAUAAUAUAUAGCUUACAAUUUUUAAAAGAGGCUACAAUUUAUCUAUAUUUUCACAGAUAAGUUACUUACAGUAUUUGGAGAAAAUACAGACUGUCAUAGCCUAGAUAGAUAAUAAGUACCUGACAUACAGCUACUUCUGAAUAAAUGUUAACUGAAGUUGACUGUGUAAUUUUAAGAGUUAUACUAGAGGCAAAUGCUGAAUUUUAACGGACAAUAAUGAUCAAAUCACCAGUUUUUUCUUUUUUAGGCAGGGAGGCAGUGGGAGUGGAAGUAGUGGUGAUAGUAAAGAACAAACCUGCUAAUAAGAAUAAAUACACUUUGGGAGGCUGAGGCGGGCAGAUCAUGAGGUCAAGAAACCAACAAGGUGAAACCCCAUCUCCACUAAAAAUACAAAAAUUGGCUGGGCAUGGUGGCACACGCCUGUAGUCCCAGCUACUCAGGAGGCUGAGGCAGGAGAAUCGCUCGAACCCAGGAGGCCGAGGUUGCAGUUAGCCAAGAUGGCGCCACUGAACUCCAGCCUGGUGACAGAAUGAGACUCCAUCUCAAAAAAAAAAAAAAAAAAAAGAAUAAAGAAUAAAAAUAUCCAAGAUUGACCACACAAAAAAUGUAUAACUAAAGUACAUUUUUUAAAAACUAAAAGAAAAAAUACUUGAUGAGAAACAUUUGCAAACAUGACAAAAAAUUAUCAUCUUCAAUACAUAAAUAUAUCAUCCUUUGAGAAAAAUAUGAGGUAAAACAAUUAAAUGGGCAAAAUAUAUAAGACUCCAAAAAGGCAACAUAAAUUAUUAAAUAUUUUUCGAAAUAAUAACACUUAAUGCUGUCAGAGUUGCUAUCAGAAAAAGAUCCCUAGAGUUUUUUUGGAAAAACACUGGCAAAAUGUAUUGUCACUUUAAUUAUGCUUUAACCUUUGAUACAAUAAUUUCUGGACUCCAAUAAAAUAAUGCUAAAAUUAGGAGAAAAGUUAUGUGCAAAUAUUUAAUGUAGUACAGUACUUUUUUUUUAAUGGAAGCAAAUUAAAUGCCUAAUCAUUGAGGAAUAAUUAUGUAUUUUAUAAAUCCAUACAGUAAAAUAUCAUGAAGCUACUGAUGUUUACAAAAAGUUUGUAUUUAAGGAAAAUGCUUAUACUAUUAUCAUAAAGAAAAAAUUCAAAUUGGUGCAUACAGUAUGAUCUCAACUACACACAUUCAUUUAAAAAAUACUGAAAAUACUAUUAUCCCUAUCUGAAUUCAGAAACUGAAAACAUUUUCCAAGCAAGGAAUACAAGAACACCAAAAUAGUGCCUGCCUGACAACAUGGAUUUUAGAUAAUUUUAUCUCUCCAUUAACAUAUUCUGGUUUUCUAACACAACAAAAUUGGAUUACUUUUAUAAUCCAAUUUAGAAGAAACAAAUAUCUCUGAUGAAAUUAGUAUUAAAAGUAUCGUUCUUCUAGUAAUAACAUAUGAAAGGACAUGCACAAGGCAGCACUAUUUAUUGUAGCACUAUUGUAAGUAGAAAACUAAAACAAUAAAAUGACCAAUAAGAACUGGUCUUACAAACUAUAAACAUCCACACAAUGAAGUAUAUGUAAUACUAUGAAGCUAUUAGAGGAAUGAAGACUAUCUCUGUGUAUUGCUCAUAGUCUGGCAUAAUCUCUAGGAUAUACAGAGAAAAGAAAUAUGGAAAAAAGCCUGCAGUAUGCUACCAUUUAUCAAGGAAGAAGGGUAACAUACAUAAUUUUUAUAUAUUUAAGUAGAAGGAGAAAUCAAAUAAUUAAGAAAAAUAAAAUGGGUUCGCUAGGGUAGGGCUGUCCAACAGAACUUUCAGCCAGGAUGGAAAUGUUCUAUAAUCUGUGCUGUUCAAGAUGGUGGCUGGCCACAUGUGGCUAUCAAGCACUUGAGAUGUUGCUGGUGUAACUGAAGAACUAAUUUUUAAUUUUAUUUAAUUUUAAUUAAUUUUAAUUUAAGAAGCCACAUGUGCUGGUAGUUAGCUUACUAAACAACACUACUGCUACAGGGGAAGGAAGGAAGCAGAGUUUAGGGAAAGGGAUAGAAGCUAGGUUUCUUUGUAUAUAAUUUUUGUAGAUUUAACAUUGGAAAUUACAAUUUUUAGAAAUGAGAUUUUUGAAAAGCAAUUCCCAUAAAUCAAAAUAAAAUUAGAUAAAUCAAUCUACAUACAUGGUUGGUGGUAAAACCACACAAAUUAACCAGUUCGAAUGACUUUAAAACACAAUAACUUGACUUUAUAUUCCUAGUGAGACAUAAUGACCAAAAAAAAUUUUUAAAGCCAUUCCAAUAAUCAUAUUUUGCUACUCAGAUAUUUUAUUCUCAGACUUAUACACAUGUACUGUGAAAUAAAACAAAUGAGUAAUUAUUAUUGGUGCAGCUGGGCACUAGAAUUUUCAACAUGGAAGAAGUAAAGAUAAACUAAUGUGAGUUUUAAAACUUUGACAUUCAAAAUUUGAAUUAUGAGUGUCAGUAUGAAUUUAUGAUGGCUUUUAUUUAUUUAAAAAAAACUUCUUCACUUUGUCCACUGAAAAAUCCCAGAAACAAGGAAAAAACUAGGAACAUUCCUAGAACCCAGAUCUAGUGUCCAUAUGCCACUUCCCAUUGAAAGAAGCUAAAGUUCCUUGUGAAAUGCCUGAUUCCAUUUCUGAGGGAGGAAACACACAAAAUAAAUCUAAGAAUAUAGCAACCUGGUCAUCCUAGAAAGCAAGGACGCUAUCAGAUACUACUGAUGGAGUGUCAGUCAAAUGGACUCAGGAGCCAACUUCAAGGAACUACUUGCCAAAGACAAGGCAAAUUUGUUAUCAAUACGAAUUAUAUCGGCAAACGAUUUAAACAUAUCAAAAGUGUUUAAAUCCUUGAGUUCAUAUGAUAUAUUUUACAAAAACCUAAUUAUUCACCUUUGGAAGAUUCUAGGAAACCAUCUCAUUUAAUUAAAAAAUUUAUAUAUAAAAAAAAUCACACAUGCAUCUUGCCUAUACUCUUAAAAAGCUAUUAUCUGAAAAUAACAAAAUAUUAGAUGGGGGGAAGUAUUUCUUUAUGGAAUUAUUCCAGUUAACAAAUAAAAAAUAAAAUAUUAAAAUGACAGAAUUAGACGAGUGACAUUUCACAACUCCUAAUGAAACAAUGAAGCUAUAUAAUGAUCAUAAAUGGCUGUAUUGCUACAGAAAAGUAACAGCCAGACACCAUGUCUCUGAUAGGACACAAUGAUACUUCUGAAGUAAUCUCCCCUCCUCCCCACAAAAAUUAAAUCUGAAUCUACUGAAGCCUCUAAAUGUAAAUGACACUGAAAGUAGGAGAGAGAUCGAGGUACAAAGAAGCAAUCAGAAAAAAUCCAGACUGUAGCAAACUCUACAGGAAAAACUAGAUUCUUUAAUGAAGAAAUUGCAAGCAGAACAAGAGAGAGGAGAGAAGAGGGUAUUUAUAUAAUAAGAAAGUCUAGAGAAACAACCACCAAGUGCAAUCCAUGGACAGUAUUUCACUCCUGAUUACAAUAAAUUGUAUUAAAAAAUUAUAAUCAAGAAAAUUUAAACACUAUUUAUUGUUAUUAGAGACAGAGUUUUGCUCUGUUGCCUAGACUGGAGUGCAGUGGCAUGAUCAUGGCUUACUGCAACCUUGAACUCCUGGGCUCAGGCAAUCCUCCCACCUCCUGAGUAGCCAGAACUACAGGCGUGCGCCACCACGCCCAGCCCUGACCACAUAUUUAAUAUUAAGGAAUUAUAUUGUUUUAGGUGAGAUAUUGAUACUGUCUUUUUUUUUAAAAAAAGAAUCUUUAUCUUUUAGAGAUAUAUGUUCAAAUAUUUAUAAAUAAAAUUGUCUGGGAUUCGCUUCAAAAUUAACCCAAAGGAAAAUGGGUAAGGGUAAAGAUUAUACAAAAUUGACUGUGAGUUGAUGAUUAUGUAAACUGAUAGAAGACUUUUGAAUUAAUUAUUCUAAUAUUUCCAAUUCUGUAUUUGUUUGAUAUUUUCUUUAGAAGAAAUAUUUUAAAAAGCAACAAAAAACACAACUUUGAUUUUA